UGUCCUCACACACAGACACAGAGCUCCUAGACCUGAGGAAACUCUCUGGAGGUUAAGCCAAUAUUUUUUAUGAGAAAUAUGAAAUCGUUGUGGAAAAGAGAUCAUUGGCCUGUCAUGAUCUUCUACGUCCUCCUCAGAAGUGGAAGUCCUCGGAUACUUCUCAAGCGUUAAAAGAAGCAUUACUAGAAAUGAUGAAUGCUGCUCAGAGAUGAGUUCUUGAAACCUUGUGUAAACAUGGAUACAGGAGUGUGUCUAGCUGACCCAAUGAGUAAGGACAGUGAAGUCAGCCAAAAAAUGGACUGAAGACAUCAAUUUCUUGUCUUCAAACAAAAGCAGAUUCCUGAUGCUCAGUGCAGGUACCAGAAGAAAACUUGAAGGAGAGUGAGACAAGCCAUCUUUGAAGGAAUAAUGAGGUUUUGGUUAGUAGCCGUCUGAGAUUGGAAAGUGG
Molecule: long non-coding RNA, 448 nt
Filed under: Equus caballus (horse)
Lineage: Eukaryota; Metazoa; Chordata; Mammalia; Perissodactyla; Equidae
Description: lncRNA (ENSECAG00000041117.2)
Source: RNAcentral